RNAcentral lists this ribosomal RNA (253 nucleotides) under uncultured bacterium. RNAcentral describes it as "partial 16S ribosomal RNA". It matches the Rfam family "Bacterial small subunit ribosomal RNA", at positions 524 to 776 of the family's 1533-position model. The record is from RNAcentral.
UACAGAGGGUGCAAGCGUUGCUCGGAAUCAUUGGGCGUAAAGGGCAAGUAGGUGGUCUCAUUUGUCUAGGGUGAAAUCCUUGAGCUUAACUCAAGAAGUGCCCUAGAAACGGUGAGACUCGAGUUCUGGAGAGGGUCGUGGAAUUCCCGGUGUAGCGGUGAAAUGCGUAGAGAUCGGGAGGAACACCAGUGGCGAAGGCGACUUUCUGGCCUGUUCUUGACGCUGAGGCGCGAAAGCUAGGGGAGCAAACGGG